GCCCUGGUGGCAUGACAGUUAUGUGCUCGGCUGCUAACCAAAAUGUUGGUGGUUCGAACCCAUCCAGUGGCU
RNAcentral lists this transfer RNA (72 nucleotides) under Loxodonta africana (African savanna elephant). It matches the Rfam family "tRNA". Rfam says of the family: Transfer RNA (tRNA) molecules are approximately 80 nucleotides in length. Their secondary structure includes four short double-helical elements and three loops (D, anti-codon, and T loops). The record is from Rfam by way of RNAcentral. Lineage: Eukaryota; Metazoa; Chordata; Mammalia; Proboscidea; Elephantidae.